RNAcentral lists this transfer RNA (75 nucleotides) under Microcaldota archaeon. Its description in RNAcentral is "tRNA-Arg". It matches the Rfam family "tRNA". From Rfam's summary of the family: Transfer RNA (tRNA) molecules are approximately 80 nucleotides in length. Their secondary structure includes four short double-helical elements and three loops (D, anti-codon, and T loops). RNAcentral also lists the same sequence under 2 other names. The record is from RNAcentral. Lineage: Archaea; Nanobdellati; Microcaldota.
GGGCCCGUAGCGCAGCCUGGAUAGCGCGGCAUCCUCCUAAGAUGUAGGUCGUGGGUUCAAAUCCCACCGGGCCCG